GCCCACUGCCCUGAGGACUUCUUCAUAGUCAGGCUGUAUGCUGAGCUGGAGUCAGUAUCACACAGGUCCCAGCACAGACAUGAAGACCCCCACUCAGCACCUGGGGUUCCUGCUGCUCUGGUUAAUAGGUGCCAGAUGUGAUAUCCAGAUGACCCAGUCUCCAGGGUUGCUGUCUGCAUCUGUGGGAGAAACUGUCACCAUCACAUGCCAGUCAAGUCAGGACAUUUACAGUAAUUUAGCAUGGCAUCAGCAGAAACCAGGAGAAUCACCUAAGCUUUUGAUCUAUUCUGCAACCAGCUUGGCUGAUGGGACCCCAUCGAGGUUCAGUGGGAGUGGAUCUGGUACACAGUAUUCUCUCAAGAUCACCAACCUGCAGCCUGAAGAUAUGGCAAAUUAUUACUGUCAACAGCAUGAUACCUAUCCUCCCACAGUGAUUCAAGCCAUGACAUAA
Mesocricetus auratus (golden hamster) is the source of this 451-nucleotide non-coding RNA. NCBI's taxonomy places the organism in Eukaryota, Metazoa, Chordata, Mammalia, Rodentia, Cricetidae. The record is from the annotation of a RefSeq genome assembly.